RNAcentral lists this ribosomal RNA (598 nucleotides) under Dyella sp. RZ2MS3. Its description in RNAcentral is "bacterial SSU rRNA". It matches the Rfam family "Bacterial small subunit ribosomal RNA", at positions 56 to 645 of the family's 1533-position model. The record is from RNAcentral. Lineage: Bacteria; Pseudomonadati; Pseudomonadota; Gammaproteobacteria; Lysobacterales; Rhodanobacteraceae.
UGCAGUCGACGGCAGCACAGUAGAGCUUGCUCUAUGGGUGGCGAGUGGCGGACGGGUGAGUAAUGCAUCGGGAUCUACCCAAACGUGGGGGAUAACGUAGGGAAACUUACGCUAAUACCGCAUACGUCUUACGAGAGAAAGCAGGGGACCUUCGGGCCUUGCGCGGUUGGACGAACCGAUGUGCGAUUAGCUAGUUGGUAGGGUAAUGGCCUACCAAGGCGACGAUCGCUAGCUGGUCUGAGAGGAUGAUCAGCCACACUGGAACUGAGACACGGUCCAGACUCCUACGGGAGGCAGCAGUGGGGAAUAUUGGACAAUGGGCGCAAGCCUGAUCCAGCAAUGCCGCGUGUGUGAAGAAGGCCUUCGGGUUGUAAAGCACUUUUAUCAGGAGCGAAAUACUACCGGCUAAUAUCCGGUGGGGCUGACGGUACCUGAGGAAUAAGCACCGGCUAACUUCGUGCCAGCAGCCGCGGUAAUACGAAGGGUGCAAGCGUUAAUCGGAAUUACUGGGCGUAAAGCGUGCGUAGGCGGUUAUUUAAGUCUGUUGUGAAAUCCCCGGGCUCAACCUGGGAAUGGCAAUGGAUACUGGAUAGCUAGA